AGGCUCUCCUCAGUACAUGGAGGAGGCUCUCCUCAGUACACGGAGGAGGUUCUCAGUACAUGGAGGAGGCUCUCAGUACACGGAAGAGGCUCUCCUCAGUACACGGAGGAGGUUCUCAGUACAUGGAGGAGGUUCUCAGUACAUGGAGGAGGUUCUCAGUACACGGAGGAGGUUCUCAGUACAUGGAGGAGGCUCUCCUCAGUACAUGGAGGAGGCUCUCAGUACAUGGAGGAGGUUCUCAGUACAUGGAGGAGGUUCUCCUCAGUACAUGGAGGAGGCUCUCAGUACAUGGAGGAGGCUCUCCUCAGUACAUGGAGGAGGUUCUGGUUCUUCAUGUCCCUCCUGCUGUCACUGUGGAUGCGGCUUCACAGCCUCCUCAGGCUCCUGCCUUUCAGGCCUUCCUCUUUCAUCAUCACUCCCUGCUCUCCUGUCUGUUCUUACUUUGAUAUUUUGGGUUUUGGCUUUUUUUGCCAUCAGCUUUUUCUUAAAGAACC
RNAcentral lists this long non-coding RNA (494 nucleotides) under Rattus norvegicus (Norway rat). Its description in RNAcentral is "long non-coding RNA NONRATT013971". Lineage: Eukaryota; Metazoa; Chordata; Mammalia; Rodentia; Muridae. The record is from RNAcentral.